RNAcentral lists this ribosomal RNA (254 nucleotides) under uncultured bacterium. RNAcentral describes it as "partial 16S ribosomal RNA". It matches the Rfam family "Bacterial small subunit ribosomal RNA", at positions 524 to 776 of the family's 1533-position model. The record is from RNAcentral.
UACGUAGGGGGCUAGCGUUGUCCGGAAUCAUUGGGCGUAAAGAGCGUGUAGGCGGUCCGGUAAGUCCGCUGUGAAAGUCGGGGGCUCAACCCUCGAAUGCCGGUGGAUACUGUCGGGCUAGAGUGCGGAAGAGGCGAGUGGAAUUCCCGGUGUAGCGGUGAAAUGCGCAGAUAUCGGGAGGAACACCAAUGGCGAAGGCAGCUUGCUGGGACGGUACUGACGCUGGAGACGCGAAAGCGUGGGGAGCAAACGGG